RNAcentral lists this long non-coding RNA (2174 nucleotides) under Lytechinus variegatus (green sea urchin). RNAcentral describes it as "uncharacterized LOC121427664". Lineage: Eukaryota; Metazoa; Echinodermata; Echinoidea; Temnopleuroida; Toxopneustidae. The record is from RNAcentral.
GGAGGGGGAAAUUCCACCACCCUGCACCCACCCCUUAGGGAGCGCUCCGCGCGCUCUGUAAAUGUUGGCACGCUUUGCGUGCAUUUACCGCCCCCUCCAAAAUGAAAUCCUGGCUACGCGAUUGGCUGUAGUAAACGGGUUGUUUGCUCCUCCGUUACGAGCCCAAUGGCCGUCAUGGGUCUAUUAACAAAGGGGAUGCCACAGAGCCAGACGAAGUCUCAGCGGAGCAUAUCCCCGACAGCAAUAGACCCAUUUAUCAGUCUAGUGUGGUGCACGCUAGCGCUGUGCAUGUAUGUGGGGGUGUGAAGCCUUGCAUGCAGCUCUCACUGGACAAUUUGGCAGGGCUAGGGAACAGAGAUGUUUCUUGCGAGCGCGGCGGGCAGCUUCUGAAUGGAACUUUUAUCAUUUGGAGUAUGUCGACAUUCGACAAUGAUAAUCAGGUCUGAAAAUGGGGGUCAUCAAAGCGGCACGUUCCCGUACCAACAGUAUGUGAGUACCCCCCACCCCCUGGAUGCUAUAGCUUCACAUUGCCAUUGUAUUGUCCGGUGUUCGAAAAAUCAGUGUAUUUCGGACAGGGAUAUGCUCCGCUCAGGCAUUGCCUGCCUCCACGGCAUCUGCUCCGGCAGUUGACCAAAGUCUCCCAUAGGACUUGUACUCGUGUCGGUGCUCCACACGCUCACGAUGCUUAGAUUUAGAGUCAGCCGUGCAGACUAGAUUCAUACGUUCAUUACAUGCCGCCAUGCUCACGAAAAUCAAGGCACAACACUUUCAUGGGAUAAUGCGUAAUGGGACUAUUAAACUAAAAUAAAUUCAAAUAUAAUUAACAUUUGCUAUGUCACUUACCGAAGGAUGUGAAUCCACUUUUCCCAAGUAUUUACCAGAAGGGGAAAUUUAAUGUCCAUUUUGCUCCUUGUUGACAAACAUGGAGCUUACUUGAGGAUUCCGAAUUUUUCGUCCACAAAGAGGGCCUGCAAUUUAUAUUCCUAUCAAAGACACUACAAGGGAAAGACUAGACACCCAAGUGCCCAAUCUUUUCAUUGUAUAGUCUUUCGUGGACCGUUUGUUGACAAACAAAGGCUCACAAUGCAAGCUUGGUUUAAGGCGAUUAGAAGUUUUCUAUUUCCUUUUUUCAACUUGUCAUCGCUUUAAAUGAUUUCCAAAAGGUGUUAUCGUCACCAAAAAUAAUCUUAAAGUACAUUUUUGAAGGUAUACAGUGGGUCCAAUGGGAAGCUCAUCUCAUGUCCUUACUUUAAAAAAAAAAUCAUUGGUUUCGCUUCAGUGGUUUUGAAUACACAGUCUACUAUGUAACGAUCAUGCUUUUCAGCCCAUUCCAAGUUUCCAUACAUACAGCACUGCUACUACUGAUGUUAUGUUCUGUACUGCCAAGCAUUCAACCCUGAUUGAUCAGGGAAUUACCUGAGCUGAAAAAUCUCCAUGAUCUAACCAAGCUCAUCAAAUCAUUACUUUGCAUGAUCAGAAGGCAACAACAAUGCCUGAAAAUUCAUUUUUAAUAAGCUUGGGAGUGGGAGAUGCACAAAGAUAAGAACAACAGGUCAUGUCUGUUUCAUGCCUAUAAUUCCAACAAUUUUGCAUUGUUUUCAUUCCUUUGUUUCAGUUAUGUUUAUCAUGAGCUCAAGUUAAUUCACCUUAUCUUUUUAAUGAAGGAAAUCAAUUUCCACAGCAAGUAAUGUUCGCUUUCGCGAAGUGUGAUACACUUGUGGUUUGCCCUUCAUUGUUCAGCCUACAUGUACAUGCAAGACCAAUGAAAUUUUCAUAGAAGUUAGAUUAUGAAACAAAGCUUUCUACUCCUGUACAUUUGAUGGAAAAAAAUACCACAUCUUAGAAUUAUGUCAGAGGGACCUUUUUGGGGGGGACGUGCUGUAGAUGGAUUGUUGAUUUUUGAAGAUCACCUAAAGACAUACCUAUUAAUAUUGUAACUGAUUUUAAAUGUAUUUUGUUGUAUUCCAUUUAUGAUUAAAAGAAAGAUGAUUCAUCUCUUCCCGUUCACUGGCUGUUCAUGUGGGAUCCGCUCCUAUGAGUUAUGUACUGACUGGGUUUACCCCUUAAAUUGUCAGUGAACGGGGCAGCUAGAGGGCACUGGGUUCCGCAUGAUGAUGGGCUGAUGGAUGGGUUGGGGUGAAUGAAGCAGAUGUGAAAUUAUUAUUCUUACAUUG